UAAUACCGGCACCCCAAGUGGUCGUCGCUUUUAUUGGGCCUAAAACGUCCGUCGCCUGUUUGGUACAUUCGUGGGUAAAUCAACCAGCUUAACUGGUUGAAUUCUGCGAGGACGGCCAGACUAGGGACCGGGAGAGGUAUGGGGUACUCUCAGGGUAGGGGUAAAAUCCAGUCAUCCUGAGGGGACCACCUGUUGCGAAGGCGCCAUACUAGAACGGAUCCGACGGUCAGGGACGAAGCCUAGGGGCACGAACCGGAUUAGAUACCCGGGUAGUCCUAGGUGUAAACGCUGUGGACUUGGUGUUGGGGACUCCACGAGUGUCCCCAGUGCCGUAGUGAAGAUGUUAAGUCCACUGCCUGGGGAGUACGGUCGCAAGGCUG
This 380-nucleotide ribosomal RNA is filed under the name uncultured euryarchaeote. Its description in RNAcentral is "bacterial SSU rRNA". It matches the Rfam family "Archaeal small subunit ribosomal RNA", at positions 471 to 851 of the family's 1478-position model. The record is from RNAcentral. Lineage: Archaea; Methanobacteriati; Methanobacteriota.